AAGAACUGCCAGUGAUAAGCUGGAGGAAGGUGGGGAUGACGUCAAGUCCUCAUGGCCCUUACGUGUUGGGCUACACACGUGCUACAAUGGCAUCUACAACAGGAAGCAAAACGGCAACGUUAAGCAAAUCCCAAAAAGAUGCCUCAGUUCGGAUUGCACUCUGCAACUCGAGUGCAUGAAGCUGGAAUUACUAGUAAUCGUGGAUCAGCGUGCCACGGUGAAUGCGUUCCCGGGUCUUGUACACACCGCCCGUCACACCAUGGGAGUUGGUUCUACCUUAAGGCAAGGUUUUAAACCCUUGACCACGGUAUAGUCAGCGACUGGGGUGAAGUCGUAACAAGGUAGCCGUAAAUCACUAGUGAAUUCGCGGCCGCCUGCAGGUCGACCAUAUGGGAGAGCUCCCAACGCGUUGGAUGCAUAGCUUGAGUAUUCUAUAGUGUCACCUAAAUAGCUUGGCGUAAUCAUGGUCAUAGCUGUUUCCUGUGUG
RNAcentral lists this ribosomal RNA (487 nucleotides) under uncultured bacterium. Its description in RNAcentral is "bacterial SSU rRNA". The stretch from base 1 to 381 matches the Rfam family "Bacterial small subunit ribosomal RNA", at positions 1144 to 1533 of the family's 1533-position model. The record is from RNAcentral.